AUUCCAGCUCCAAUAGCGUAUAUUAAAGUUGUUGCAGUUAAAAAGCUCGUAGUUGGAUUUCUGACAGGGGGCCGAACACCACUGUAGUGAGUGUUUUGGUACCUGUCAUCCUUCUGUUAACCCUAGCGUCAUUCAUUUGUCGUUGGGCGGACCAGAUACUUUACCUUGAGAAAAUUAGAGUGUUUCAGGCAGGCCUAGCCGGAAUACAUUAGCAUGGAAUAAUGGAAUAGGACUAUAGUCUCGUCGUUGGUUACGUGGACUGCAGUAAUGGUUAAUAGGGACAGUUGGGGGUAUUCAUAUUUACAUGUCAGAGGUGAAAUUCUUGGAUUUUGGAAAGAUGAACUACUGCUAAGGCAUUUACCAAGGAUGUUUUCAUUG
RNAcentral lists this ribosomal RNA (378 nucleotides) under Strombidiidae sp. RNAcentral's name for it is "partial small subunit ribosomal RNA". It matches the Rfam family "Eukaryotic small subunit ribosomal RNA", at positions 582 to 975 of the family's 1831-position model. The record is from RNAcentral. Lineage: Eukaryota; Ciliophora; Spirotrichea; Strombidiidae.